GGCACAGUGCCAGAGUGGUUAAUGGGAUAGACUCGAAUGUAACCGAUAUCUAUUGGCUUCGGCCGCACAAGUUCGAAUCUUGUCUGUGUCG
Molecule: non-coding RNA, 91 nt
Organism: Saccharata proteae CBS 121410
Lineage: Eukaryota; Fungi; Ascomycota; Dothideomycetes; Botryosphaeriales; Saccharataceae
Source: the annotation of a GenBank genome assembly